This 480-nucleotide unclassified non-coding RNA is filed under the name Clonostachys rosea. RNAcentral describes it as "sequence contains ITS1 and 5.8S rRNA gene". The stretch from base 99 to 252 matches the Rfam family "5.8S ribosomal RNA". Lineage: Eukaryota; Fungi; Ascomycota; Sordariomycetes; Hypocreales; Bionectriaceae. The record is from RNAcentral.
CCCGGGCACCUCGUGUGCCCCGGAUCAGGCGCCCGCCUAGGAAACUUAACUCUUGUUUUAUUUUGGAAUCUUCUGAGUAGUUUUUACAAAUAAAUAAAAACUUUCAACAACGGAUCUCUUGGUUCUGGCAUCGAUGAAGAACGCAGCGAAAUGCGAUAAGUAAUGUGAAUUGCAGAAUUCAGUGAAUCAUCGAAUCUUUGAACGCACAUUGCGCCCGCCAGUAUUCUGGCGGGCAUGCCUGUCUGAGCGUCAUUUCAACCCUCAUGCCCCUAGGGCGUGGUGUUGGGGAUCGGCCAAAGCCCGCGAGGGACGGCCGGCCCCUAAAUCUAGUGGCGGACCCGUCGUGGCCUCCUCUGCGAAGUAGUAAUAUUCCGCAUCGGACAGCGACGAGCCCCUGCCGUUAAACCCCCAACUUUCCAAGGUUGACCUCAGAUCAGGUAGGAAUACCCGCUGAACUUAAGCAUAUCAAUAAGCGGAGGA